Molecule: long non-coding RNA, 1701 nt
Organism: Hirundo rustica (Barn swallow)
Lineage: Eukaryota; Metazoa; Chordata; Aves; Passeriformes; Hirundinidae
Exons: 3
Source: RefSeq, a predicted model, not a curated record
CUUUCCGGGUCGGCGCUACGGCGGAGGCGGAGCGGCCGCUCCGGGGCCGUCCCGACGAGAGGGGCGGUGAUGUCGAGAUUACCCGGGAGCUUUGCCAAGGCCGCUGUCCCGUGAGGGGUGGCCGUGCCCCGUGCUGGUGAGAGUUUUUUAUACCGAGGUUUGAAAUUCCCCACGCCAGUAUAUAGAAGCGGCGUGGAAAGAGUCAAAACGCUUUUCAUCUCUCUGCCAGUACAAAAUAAACGAGCUAAAAUAACAGAAUCGUUUGGGUUGGAAGGGACCUCUGGAGAUCACCAUAACCCUACCUCCCCUGCGAAGACAGGGAUCAGCCCAGAGCAAGUGACACAGGAACACAUCCAGGUGGCGUUGGAAUGUCUCCAGAGAGGAAGACUCCACACCCUGCCUGGGCCUCUGUUCCAGUGCACUGGCCGCCUUCCAGGAAGCCUGGAAAAGCAAGGUCUUGUUCACGAGGAGCCGCUUCAUCUUGAAAGUCAAGGUGUCUCACAAGAGGUGCUGCAAAGGGGAGCUGGCAAAAAAGGAGAGAGCCGCAAGGAAGCAAAGAAGCCGCCCGAAGGCCUUAUCCCAGCCCAGGGUUCCCACUUUUCUCUCUGACUCCUGAAUAAUUGCUUGAGCAUAACCAGGGAGCAUCCAUUUGAUUUCCUGCCUUUUCCAAUAAAUCCUUGCCUUCAGCUGGAGCGCGUUCCUGGUGUCCUCCUCCUCCUCCUGCUGCAUGGAUUUGUAAAUAAAGUUCCUGACUUCUGUCCAACUGAAUUUUGUUAUUCCAGCAAUUGUGGCUCUCUUGUUCCACUGAAACUUCCCCGCUCUGCCGAGAGUUUGAGAUGUCAAAUCCAGGUAAGACUGGAGUUUCUUUGGGUUGCUACUCCCACAAAACACAGAUAAUUCUUGGAGAAGUGUAAUGUGCCAUGUUUAGUUCUCACUUCCCUUUAAAAUCAGAGCAGAGGAGGCAGACUUUAAAUCAUCCUUCCAUGAACUUCCACCAACCUCCUGACUGUUGCAAAAGUUUUCAAUGUUAGAAAUUCCCGAGCUUGUUUUCCAGGCAAGCUGGGAUUUGGGUGUUAUUCCUUCCUUUUAUUUCAUGGUUUUCCUCUCUCUGAUUUCAGUGAGGGGGUAUUUAUUGCAAAUGCCAAUUUUCCAUCCCAGUUGGAAUUUUUGUACCUCUUAGGGCACAUUUGCAAGGAAAUUUGCCAAAAGAGUGUCGGUUAAUGGGCAUUGUGGAUCACCGUACCUGCAGGAUGCUGUAAAUUCCCAGGAAAACUUGCUGCGUGUUUAAUUGCCGUCAUGAAUCUCUCUGUAAAGUCAAAUUUAGUGCAUUUUUAAUGCCAUCAAUCCCAUUACAACCUCACUCCUGGCCUAAUUGCUGUUCCCUGGACACAAUGGGGUGGAUCUUUCCUGCCUUGGCACAUUUGGAUGUUCAUCCGAAGUGAGUUUCCCUCUAAAAAAGAAUUUGUUUCCAAGCAAAACUGGGAAUUGUCUCAAAACCUUCUUGUCUGGGAGGCACUGGGUUUGUUUUCCCCAUCCCUGCGUAGUGCAGGAUCCUCCCAAGGCUGUGUUAGGCAGUGGCAGGAGAGGAGAGCUGCAUUUAUUUUUGUAUUACUAUUUAUUUUAUUUUUUACUUUUUUACUUUUGUAAUUUUAUUUUCUUGAGUUUUAUUUUUUCAUAGAAUUUUUUGUUUUGAACUUUUAA